This 330-nucleotide unclassified non-coding RNA is filed under the name soil metagenome. Its description in RNAcentral is "partial contains 5.8S ribosomal RNA, internal transcribed spacer 2, and large subunit ribosomal RNA". The stretch from base 1 to 120 matches the Rfam family "5.8S ribosomal RNA", at positions 35 to 154 of the family's 154-position model. The record is from RNAcentral.
GAUGAAGAACGUAGCGAAAUGCGAUAAGUAAUGUGAAUUGCAGAAUUCAGUGAAUCAUCGAAUCUUUGAACGCACAUUGCGCCCCCUGGUAUUCCGGGGGGCAUGCCUGUUCGAGCGUCAUUUCACCACUCAAGCCUCGCUUGGUAUUGGGCAACGCGGUCCGCCGCGUGCCUCAAAUCGACCGGCUGGGUCUUCUGUCCCCUAAGCGUUGUGGAAACUUUCGCUAAAGGGUGUUCGGGAGGCUACGCCGUAAAACAACCCCAUUUCUAAGGUUGACCUCGGAUCAGGUAGGGAUACCCGCUGAACUUAAGCAUAACAAUAAGCGGAGGA